RNAcentral lists this ribosomal RNA (600 nucleotides) under Olgasolaris sp. associated epsilon proteobacterium. RNAcentral's name for it is "bacterial SSU rRNA". It matches the Rfam family "Bacterial small subunit ribosomal RNA", at positions 15 to 628 of the family's 1533-position model. The record is from RNAcentral. Lineage: Bacteria; Pseudomonadati; Campylobacterota.
GAUCCUGGCUCAGAGUGAACGCUGGCGGCGUGCUUAACACAUGCAAGUCGAACGAGAACGGCUCUAGCUUGCUAGAGUGUCAGCUAAGUGGCGGACGGGUGAGUAAUGUAUAGUUAAUUUGCCCCUUGGAGAGGGAUAGCCACUGGAAACGGUGAUUAAUACCUCAUACUCCUUCUACCUUAAUGGUAGUUGGGAAACGUUUUUUCGCCAAGGGAUAAGAUUAUAUGGUAUCAGGUAGUUGGUGGGGUAAGAGCCUACCAAGCCAAUGACGCCUAGCUGGUCUGAGGGGAUGAUCAGCCACACUGGAACUGAGACACGGUCCAGACUCCUACGGGAGGCAGCAGUGGGGAAUAUUGCACAAUGGAGGAAACUCUGAUGCAGCAACGCCGCGUGGAGGAUGACGCAUUUCGGUGUGUAAACUCCUUUUAUAUGGGAAGAUAAUGACGGUACCAUAUGAAUAAGCACCGGCUAACUCCGUGCCAGCAGCCGCGGUAACACGGAGGGUGCAAGCGUUACUCGGAAUCACUGGGCGUAAAGCGCGCGCAGGCGGUCUUUUAAGUUGGAUGUGAAAGCCUAUGGCUCAACCAUAGAACUGCAUCA